UACGAAGGGGGCUAGCGUUGCUCGGAAUCACUGGGCGUAAAGGGCGCGUAGGCGGAUAUUUAAGUCGGGGGUGAAAGCCCAGGGCUCAACCCUGGAACAGCCUUCGAUACUGGAUAUCUUGAGUACGGGAGAGGUGAGUGGAACUCCGAGUGUAGAGGUGAAAUUCGUAGAUAUUCGGAAGAACACCAGUGGCGAAGGCGGCUUUCUGGACACUUACUGACACUGAGACGCGAAAGCGUGGGGAGCAAACAGG
RNAcentral lists this ribosomal RNA (253 nucleotides) under uncultured bacterium. RNAcentral's name for it is "partial 16S ribosomal RNA". It matches the Rfam family "Bacterial small subunit ribosomal RNA", at positions 524 to 776 of the family's 1533-position model. The record is from RNAcentral.